This 460-nucleotide ribosomal RNA is filed under the name uncultured bacterium. Its description in RNAcentral is "partial 16S ribosomal RNA". It matches the Rfam family "Bacterial small subunit ribosomal RNA", at positions 338 to 795 of the family's 1533-position model. The record is from RNAcentral.
CCUACGUGAGGCAGCAGUGAGGAAUAUUGGUCAAUGGGCGCGAGCCUGAACCAGCCAAGUAGCGUGAAGGAUGACUGCCCUACGGGUUGUAAACUUCUUUUAUAAAGGAAUAAAGUGAGGCACGUGUGCCUUUUUGUAUGUACUUUAUGAAUAAGGAUCGGCUAACUCCGUGCCAGCAGCCGCGGUAAUACGGAGGAUCCGAGCGUUAUCCGGAUUUAUUGGGUUUAAAGGGAGCGUAGAUGGGUUGUUAAGUCAGUUGUGAAAGUUUGCGGCUCAACCGUAAAAUUGCAAUUGAUACUGGCAGUCUUGAGUACAGGUGAGGUAGGCGGAAUUCGUGGUGUAGCGGUGAAAUGCUGAGAUAUCACGAAGAACUCCGAUUGCGAAGGCAGCUUACUAAACUGCCACUGACAUUGAUGCUCGAAAGUGUGGGUAUCAAACAGGAUUAGAUACCCCUGUAGUC